Molecule: ribosomal RNA, 498 nt
Filed under: uncultured bacterium
Lineage: Bacteria
Description: partial 16S ribosomal RNA
Rfam family: Bacterial small subunit ribosomal RNA
Source: RNAcentral
AUUGAACGCUGGCGGCAUGCCUUACACAUGCAAGUCGAACGGUAACAGGUCUUCGGAUGCUGACGAGUGGCGAACGGGUGAGUAAUACAUCGGAACGUGCCUAGUAGUGGGGGAUAACUACUCGAAAGAGUGGCUAAUACCGCAUGAGAUCUACGGAUGAAAGCAGGGGAUCGCAAGACCUUGUGCUACUAGAGCGGCCGAUGGCAGAUUAGGUAGUUGGUGGGAUAAAAGCUUACCAAGCCGACGAUCUGUAGCUGGUCUGAGAGGACGAUCAGCCACACUGGGAAUGAGAAACGGCGCAGACUCCGACGGGAGGCAGCAGUGGGGAAUGUUGGACAAUGGGCGAAAGCCUGAUCCAGCAAUGCGGCGUGCAGGAUGAAGGCCUUCGGGUUGUAAACUGCUUUUGUACGGAACGAAAAGCCCCGGGUUAAUACCCUGGGGUCAUGACGGUACCGUAAGAAUAAGCACCGGCUAACUACGUGCCAGCCGCCGCGGUAA